Molecule: unclassified non-coding RNA, 439 nt
Filed under: plant metagenome
Description: partial contains small subunit ribosomal RNA, internal transcribed spacer 1, and 5.8S ribosomal RNA
Source: RNAcentral
UUUCCGUAGGUGAACCUGCGGAAGGAUCAUUGCACACACGAUGCAGCAAACUAGCGAACUGUGUUUGUCCCCCACCUACCCCAAACACGAGGGGCCGCAUCUGGAGGUGCGGCUGUCGACGGCAAGGUCCCGACCUUCGGGUCCCCGCAGUGGUUCCCGCAAGCGGGCUGAUCAUGUCGCCGUCUGGGUGUCCCGCGCGGGCUCUCGCCUUGCCUUAGGGUUGGGCGACGCGGGCAUUCUCCUCCCUUCGAUGGCGUCGUCCCCUCCUCCGGGAGAGCGACACGCCUCGAGGGCCGUUUACAACUUUGCACCAUGUACAACACCAGUUACUGAGUAUCCCUGUGUACCGGUUCCGCUGCUGCCCUCGGGUGGUGCGAGAUUGGUCCAUAGGAACAAGAGUAAAUAAAAACAACUCUCAGCAACGGAUAUCUUGGCUCUU